RNAcentral lists this ribosomal RNA (1562 nucleotides) under Cordylochernes scorpioides. RNAcentral describes it as "bacterial SSU rRNA". The stretch from base 1 to 977 matches the Rfam family "Eukaryotic small subunit ribosomal RNA". Lineage: Eukaryota; Metazoa; Arthropoda; Arachnida; Pseudoscorpiones; Chernetidae. The record is from RNAcentral.
UGUUCUACUCGAGUGAAUUAACCACGGAAGAAUUUUGAUUUUUUCCAUCAAACAUGUUACGGCAUGAAUAAAUAGUAUACAUGAAUAAUAUUUCAUGAUCUUUUUUUGACUAAAGAAUAGGUAAAUUAAUCCAGUACUUGGUUAACUUGAAUUUUACUUGAAAUAAAAUGUAACAAAACCUCUACCUGAAUCAAUCUAUAUACUGUUGAAAUUUCAGUUGUGGUGACUCUGAAUAACUAUGGCGGAUCGCACAGUCCUAGCACUGGCGACGCAUCCUUCAAGUGUCUGCCUUAUCAACUUUCGAAGGUAGGUUAUGCGCCUACCAUGGUUGUUACGGGUAACGGGGAAUCAGGGUUCGAUUCCGGAGAGGGAGCCUGAGAAACGGCUACCACAUCCAAGGAAGGCAGCAGGCGCGCAAAUUACCCACUCCCGGCACGGGGAGGUAGUGACGAAAAAUAACAAUACGGGACUCUAACGAGGCUCUGUAAUUGGAAUGAGUACACUCUAAACCUUUUAACGAGGAUCUAUUUGGAGGGCAAGUCUAGUGCCAGCAGCCGCGGUAACUCUAUCUCCAAUAGCGUAUAUUAAAGUUGUUGCGGUUAAAAAAGCUCGUAGUUGGAUCUCAGUCACGCUCCCUUCGAUACGUUGCAAAGCGUUCAUCAUUGGGGCCGACAGCACGUUAGUGGGCCCGGUUGGCUUUUACCGGUUGAUCGGGUUCUCCGGCAAUUUUACUUUGAAAAAAUUAGGGUGCUCAAAGCAGGCUGAUGCCUGGAUAUUGGUGCAUCGAAUAAUGGAAUAGGACCUCGGUUGUUUUUCGGAUCCCGAGGUAAUGAUUGAGAGGGACAGACGGGGGCAUUCGUAUUGCGGCGCUAGAGGUAAAAUUCUUGGACCGCUGCAAGACAAACUACUGCGAAAGCAUUUGCCGAGAAUGCUUUCAUUUUCAUUACUGUUGAAAUUUCAGCCAGAUUGGUUAAAUAUUGAGAAAACCUAUAAGGAACAAACUCCAAAUCUGUUUCAAAAUAACUUUAUCAGGUACAGCUCAAAAAGAGAAACUUAGCUUAUGAUAUUUACAACAAUGAAUAAUAUUUUUAUGAAAAAUAGAAAUAUGAAUGCCAGCCAGGAAACCUCUAUCUACAGGAUAAGGAAUAAUAUGUGACGGCUAUUCACAUAUUAAGACAAAGUGUCGAAUGCGGGAUUCGAUCCCGGUUCAUGGCUGUCGGGAACCGAGGGUUUUAACCACUCCUCCACCGCCUUAUAAAUCUCUAUUUAUAUAAAUGUCAACCUAUGUAUGUUUAUUUAUUUAUUCACUAGCGAAUGUAUCCGGUCUCGCUACGUUUUUACCCGAGUGAAAGUUUGCCUAACGAACAUUUGAUAAAACAAUAUUUGCGGGCUAGCAUCCAUUCCCUAAUGAAUUCAUUCUAUUCAAGAUAAAUAAAUUUUGAUGUUUAUUACUUUUCUCCAUAAAUGUAUUUAAUAAUGGCAUUGAGAAAUCUUGCAAAUAUAGGUGUCUAAAUAUAAAGAUUAACAGGUAAGUUAUUCAAAAAGAUUAAAAUUAGACAAUA